ACUAUCGGGCCUCGUGGUGUAGCGGUUAUCACGUCAGUCUUACACACUGAAGGUCGCCGGUUCGAACCCGGCCGAGGUCAA
Molecule: transfer RNA, 81 nt
Filed under: Meloidogyne enterolobii
Lineage: Eukaryota; Metazoa; Nematoda; Chromadorea; Rhabditida; Meloidogynidae
Description: tRNA-Val
Rfam family: tRNA
About the family: Transfer RNA (tRNA) molecules are approximately 80 nucleotides in length. Their secondary structure includes four short double-helical elements and three loops (D, anti-codon, and T loops).
Source: RNAcentral